This 190-nucleotide ribosomal RNA is filed under the name uncultured Glomeromycotina. RNAcentral's name for it is "partial 18S ribosomal RNA". It matches the Rfam family "Eukaryotic small subunit ribosomal RNA", at positions 892 to 1078 of the family's 1831-position model. Lineage: Eukaryota; Fungi; Glomeromycota. The record is from RNAcentral.
UAGUAUUCAAUUGUCAGAGGUGAAAUUCUUGGAUUUAUUGAAGACUAACUACUGCGAAAGCAUUUGCCAAGGAUGUUUUCAUUAAUCAAGAACGAAAGUUAGGGGAUCGAAGACGAUCAGAUACCGUCGUAGUCUUAACCAUAAACUAUGCCGACUAGGGAUCGGAUGAUGUUAAUUCUUUAAUGACUCA